Molecule: ribosomal RNA, 253 nt
Filed under: uncultured bacterium
Lineage: Bacteria
Description: partial 16S ribosomal RNA
Rfam family: Bacterial small subunit ribosomal RNA
Source: RNAcentral
UACGUAGGUGGCAAGCGUUGUCCGGAAUUAUUGGGCGUAAAGCGCGCGCAGGCGGCCUCUUAAGUCUGAUGUGAAGGCCCCCGGCUCAACCGGGGAGGGCCAUUGGAAACUGGGAGGCUUGAGUAUAGGAGAGAAGAGUGGAAUUCCACGUGUAGCGGUGAAAUGCGUAGAGAUGUGGAGGAACACCAGUGGCGAAGGCGACUCUUUGGCCUAUAACUGACGCUGAGGCGCGAAAGCGUGGGGAGCAAACAGG